GGGUCUGUAGCUCAGUUGGUUAGAGCACCGCACUCAUAAUGCGGGGGUCACAAGUUCAAGUCUCGUCAUAGCCACCA
Molecule: transfer RNA, 77 nt
Filed under: Acinetobacter baumannii 17534
Lineage: Bacteria; Pseudomonadati; Pseudomonadota; Gammaproteobacteria; Moraxellales; Moraxellaceae
Also listed under: 9 other names
Description: tRNA-Met
Rfam family: tRNA
About the family: Transfer RNA (tRNA) molecules are approximately 80 nucleotides in length. Their secondary structure includes four short double-helical elements and three loops (D, anti-codon, and T loops). Further hydrogen bonds mediate the characteristic L-shaped molecular structure. tRNAs have two regions of fundamental functional importance: the anti-codon, which is responsible for specific mRNA codon recognition, and the 3' end, to which the tRNAs corresponding amino acid is attached (by aminoacyl-tRNA synthetases). tRNAs cope with the degeneracy of the genetic code in two manners: having more than one tRNA (with a specific anti-codon) for a particular amino acid; and 'wobble' base-pairing, i.e. permitting non-standard base-pairing at the 3rd anti-codon position.
Source: RNAcentral